RNAcentral lists this ribosomal RNA (252 nucleotides) under uncultured Bacillus sp. Its description in RNAcentral is "partial 16S ribosomal RNA". It matches the Rfam family "Bacterial small subunit ribosomal RNA", at positions 202 to 449 of the family's 1533-position model. The record is from RNAcentral. Lineage: Bacteria; Bacillati; Bacillota; Bacilli; Caryophanales; Bacillaceae.
AAAGGUGGCUUCGGCUACCACUUACAGAUGGACCCGCGGCGCAUUAGCUAGUUGGUGAGGUAACGGCUCACCAAGGCGACGAUGCGUAGCCGACCUGAGAGGGUGAUCGGCCACACUGGGACUGAGACACGGCCCAGACUCCUACGGGAGGCAGCAGUAGGGAAUCUUCCGCAAUGGACGAAAGUCUGACGGAGCAACGCCGCGUGAGUGAUGAAGGUUUUCGGAUCGUAAAGCUCUGUUGUUAGGGAAGAA